This is a long non-coding RNA of Drosophila miranda, 1641 nucleotides long. RefSeq lists it as uncharacterized. The record is from RefSeq and is a predicted model, not a curated record. NCBI's taxonomy places the organism in Eukaryota, Metazoa, Arthropoda, Insecta, Diptera, Drosophilidae. The transcript is spliced from 2 exons.
UCGCAAAUGUCUAGACUUUUCUUUUAAGGUCUUAACAAAGUCAUUCCCAAAAUAUUUGAGUUUCCCUACGAACGAAAUAGUUCUGUUCUGGCGAUUAUAUGUUCAAGUUUUACCAGAACUCUGCGUCGAAUAUGAACAGCCACUAAAUGCGAGGAUAAUGAGAAACAGAAUUUGGAGAAUCAAUUGUAUAUUUGUUUUAAAGAAGUCUCUACUACACAGACUGUACUUUAAGCUGUGCCUGUGCCGAACUUCAAACCGAAGAUCCUCUGUGAAGUAAUCCAACAGUUGGACAAUUGGAGAAUAAAUCUUCAACGGCAUUGCGGCCAUCAAGUUGGCCAAAGACAGACACAGGCCUCUGCUGUUGAACGAAUUAUGGCGAAUGUGCAACAAACUUGCCAGAAAAUUAGGUUAAACAGAAAAAAUAGUAAUCACCGAAACGCACAUGGGGCCAGGCGGCCAGGACAGGACCGUUCCGCUGCCAUGUGGCAACCGAAUGUGGCUGCUGCUGCUGGCUGCUGUCUGCUGCCUUGCCCGCCGGUGGGUUUCUGGUCCAACAAAUUGCCGCGAAUUAAGACCGUCGCACAAAAACUAUAAACAACAAAAAUCCCCGGCAGGUGGUAGGACCAGGCCAGAGCCCGCCAUCAGCAGCAGUUGAAGACAUUUUUAAAUCAGAUUCGAUUUGCGUCUUGGCAUUUGGCGAUUUACGGAUCGGAGACUCUGGGAAUCGGCCUGGGCUCUUCCUCCACUCCACAUCAUUUUCCAAUUGCGUAAGCAGCUGAGCUGGGAAAAUGUCCAAGAGAAUAGCUGGCCUUCUGAGGCCAGCAAUCAAGGGAAUAUAUUUUAGAAAGUUAAUUAUUGAUGAUUGAACUGAAGGAUUUCCCAGUUCUCUUUAGAGCAGUAUCGUGUUCUGGCCGGAUCAGGCCAUCAGUUGGUUGGAGGAGCAUUCCGCCAACCCCAGAUGCUUUCCACAGUCGCACCUUGACUUUGAGAAGCAGCCUAGUCCCUGGUUCCUCAAGAUAUUGCAACUAACAAAAGGGUAUUAUAGUGUUGCAGCACGUGUGCCGCGACUUCAAACUGUUGUACAUAAUAUAUAUAUAUAGACCCUAACUGAAGGAAUGGGUUAAGUCUGUCUACAUAGCCGCACAUGAAAAUACCAAGGAAAUUCAAAUACUUAUAUGUAAUAUAUAUAAACCCUGGGACUUCAAUGAAAUUCUAGCUUCAGCUACUCAAAAACAGACCACGUAAUGCAAUUCUAAGCAAAAAUGCUAUAGUUGGACAGCCGCUGGCUAUGGUCGUGUGAACACACGUGCUUACAUAACGUCAGCGCCCGCCCGUCGUUCUGUCGUGUCUUCCUUUGGCAGUGCAGUGGCUGAGGUUUUAUACGAACGCACUUUGAGGACAAAACGGAAAAACGUUUUUCAACUUCCAUGGAAUUUUCGGUGAUUGGAUAAUAAUUUUCUCGCGCCGCCAGCGCUUCCUGUGCUCUCUUUCUCUCUCUCUCUCUGUAGGAGAUCAAGGGGACAGGAACAUAAGAUUUUCCCGGAAUUUUUGAUAAGCGGCAAGUUUUUAUUUUCUUAAUGAAUCUGUCAGUGUUCUGCUCAAGACUCGAGACGCACAAGUAAAAUGUCCCAAAAGAACCUA